Molecule: ribosomal RNA, 453 nt
Filed under: Pseudogagrella cyanea
Lineage: Eukaryota; Metazoa; Arthropoda; Arachnida; Opiliones; Sclerosomatidae
Description: partial 16S ribosomal RNA
Rfam family: Bacterial large subunit ribosomal RNA
Source: RNAcentral
GCCGCAGUAGCCUGACUGUGCUAAGGUAGCAUAAUCAUUAGGCCUUUAAUUGGGGUCUGGUAUGAAGGAAUAAAUAGGGAAAAUCUGUCUAAGAAGAGGAUUUGAAGUUAAAUUUUUAGUAAUAAUGCUAGGAUAGACUUGUGGGACGAUAAGACCCUAUAAAGCUUGAUUUGUCUACUUUAAAUGUUUGUACUGAAUUUAGGAGAUUAUAAAUUUGACUGGGGCGGUUGGCACUAUAACUUGCUUAAAUUUUAGGGUCUUUUGAUCCAUUAAUAAUGAACCAAGAAUAAGUUACUUUAGGGAUAACAGCAUAAUAUCCUUAUGGAGCCCUAAUCGAAGGGGAUGAUUAUGACCUCGAUGUUGAAUUAAUCUUGAUGUAUGGUGAAGAAGCUAUAUGUUUUAGUCUGUUCGACUAUUGAAUGAUUACAUGAUUUGAGUUCAAACCGGUGUGAG